AUUGAACGCUGGCGGCAGGCCUAACACAUGCAAGUCGAGCGGCAGCGGAAAGUAGCUUGCUACUUUGCCGGCGAGCGGCGGACGGGUGAGUAAUGUCUGGGAAACUGCCUGAUGGAGGGGGAUAACUACUGGAAACGGUAGCUAAUACCGCAUAACGUCGCAAGACCAAAGAGGGGGACCUUCGGGCCUCUUGCCAUCAGAUGUGCCCAGAUGGGAUUAGCUAGUAGGUGGGGUAACGGCUCACCUAGGCGACGAUCCCUAGCUGGUCUGAGAGGAUGACCAGCCACACUGGAACUGAGACACGGUCCAGACUCCUACGGGAGGCAGCAGUGGGGAAUAUUGCACAAUGGGCGCAAGCCUGAUGCAGCCAUGCCGCGUGUAUGAAGAAGGCCUUCGGGUUGUAAAGUACUUUCAGCGGGGAGGAAGGUGUUGAGGUUAAUAACCUCAGCAAUUGACGUUACCCGCAGAAGAAGCACCGGCUAACUCCGUGCCAGCCGCCGCCGUAA
This 506-nucleotide ribosomal RNA is filed under the name uncultured bacterium. RNAcentral describes it as "partial 16S ribosomal RNA". It matches the Rfam family "Bacterial small subunit ribosomal RNA", at positions 30 to 523 of the family's 1533-position model. The record is from RNAcentral.